UCUAAAAAUAUCUAAACCCUAACCUUCCUCCCCGCCUUCAUCAAAUUUUUCCCCAUACCCUUCCCCGCACCACAAUCUUCUCUGCUUGGCUUCGUGUUCGUCUUCUCCUGCUUGGCUUCGUGUUCUCCUUCUCCUGCUUGGUUGAGCGUCGAGGUGGAGGCGUCGAGGCAUUUGUGGGUUGAGCGAGAUCGAGGUGCUCUAGCGCACUCCCGUACUGACCGAUCUUAGGUCGAGGUCGAGGUACCAGGAAUCUGUUGGGGUGAUUUCUAUCACUACAGUACAACACAUUUUGUCUCCAACCCCUCAAACUCAAAUCCUCCUUGGCACUAAAAGCCACUGAAAAGCUGCAGAAAAAUGUGGAUAAUCUUAUAGUGAUUCCAAAUUACCGCCUCCUUGACAUGGUUGAUGAGUAGACACCUCUCCAGGAUGCUUUCGUCUAGCAAAUGAUGUUCUUAGGCAAGGAGUGCAGGGAAUAUCAAACAUCAUAACAAUACCUAGGCUUGUAAAUGUGGAUUUUGCUGAUGUAAAAACUGUGAUGAAAGACUUUGGAACAACAAUGCUUGGUAUGGUUGUUUCCUCCAAUAAAGACUAAUGUUUUUGGAUUUGGCAUUCUCCUCUUUGAAUUCACAGGCCAGAGAGCUCUAGAGUUUGGAAAAUCAACCAACAACAAAGGAGUCAUGCUUGAUUGCAUAUUACCUUGUGGAGAGAGCUAAGGAUGUUAAUAUUGUUGGGAUUUUAGUUGCAACUCUUGGGGUUGCUGGUUAUCUUCACAUAAUCAAUCAAAUGAAGGAGCUCAUAACUGGAGCAGACAAGAAGGCCUAUACUUUGGUUAUGGGAAAGCCAAACCCAACUAAACUUGCUAACUUUCCUAGGUAUCUAUAUGAACAAAGAAGUAUACCAAAUGAUGAAGUGUACCAAAUGAUGAAGGUAGAGAAGACAAAUGAAGAACAACAAAAUUGAUGAUUGUAAUUUAGAAAAUGUUUAUUGUAAUUUUUAAGAUUGAACAUGUUAUUUUUUAAGUUGAAUAAUUAAUUGUAUUAACAUUUACUGUUUAUUUUAUAUAAUAAUAUUUAAUUUUGGUUUCAAA
Molecule: long non-coding RNA, 1087 nt
Organism: Vigna angularis (adzuki bean)
Lineage: Eukaryota; Viridiplantae; Streptophyta; Magnoliopsida; Fabales; Fabaceae
Exons: 7
Source: RefSeq, a predicted model, not a curated record